This is an RNA transcript of Passer montanus (Eurasian tree sparrow), 3812 nucleotides long. It is a transcript of the gene named transmembrane protein 71, with no coding region annotated. NCBI's taxonomy places the organism in Eukaryota, Metazoa, Chordata, Aves, Passeriformes, Passeridae. The transcript is spliced from 9 exons. The record is from RefSeq and is a predicted model, not a curated record.
UCUGCUCUUCAGAACGAAUGCCUCUGAUGUGAGGCUACUCUACAGGAAACAUGACCUCAUUCAGGCUCUGUGCCUCUGAUUGCACGGGCUGUUUUCAAAAGGAAACAGGGGACUUGCUAGACCUGCCCUUGCGAAGAGCCAGGGCUGAGCUCUCCCAGGAAGCUGCUCAAGGACCAGCCUCCACCAGCCGUCCCACGGGCUCUCGGGCUGAUGAAGAGACAAAUUUUGCACGCAUGUGUUAAUUGUGAAAUGGAUUUUCCAGGUUCAACACCACUUAAUGAAGAGCAUAGACACAGCCUCUCAAGACAUAUUUUUCCAAGUUGUGCUUGUGCCUUUUUGGAUGAUGAUCCUGCCUAUGGGUGCUCCACAAGUCCUCUGACAGGCUCCCUUCCUACAUGCCGCCGCAGCCCUCGACUGCUUUCUAAUGGUUAUUAUGUUUUGACAGAAGACAGUUUUCUGUCUGAUGAAGAAGGCAACAUAACACUGACACCAUCCCACACAAGUGUUACAUAUAAAGAGAAUUUAGUUCGUGUAUUCAGGCGAAGGAAGAAAAUCCGUCGCUCUCUUGACAGCUUGUUCAAUCUCAGUGCCUCCAGCUCAUGGCUCAGCUCCACCAUUCCCAGCAGGAUGGAUUUCUCCCAUGUAGAGGACCCUUGGCCUGAUGGAUGCAGAAAAUUAGAAGCCAGUCACAAUGAUAUUGGUGAUUCAGACUUUUCUUCUGAAUGUAAUAACCAUGUGUCACAAAGGCAAAUUCCAGCAUCUCAUGGAGCAUUUCUCACCAAAGAUGAUGAGUUUCUUCAUUUUGAGGAACCAUUUUGUGCUUCAAAAUCCUGCUCUUCAUUUAUGAUAAAUGCAAAUAAAGAGAACUGGAGCAAUGCAGAAUCCAGGACAGUGCAAAAUGUCAUUUCUCAGAUAGUUGCACUGAUCACGUGUUUAAUCAUUUCAGCGUGUACAAGAUAUUUUCUGGGAGGACUGUCUGCCACUUUGUUGCUGAUGAUUUUAGUUUGUAAGUAUAGAGUUUCUUUAUUUCCAAUGUAUUUAUUUUUUUUUACUAAGUCACAUCUGAGGAACAAAUUCUUUCCUUGAAUGUAUAUCCAUGGGUCUUUCUGAUCCUAAUAAGAGCAGUAUAUGGUCAAAUGGGGACAAAUGUAGCCUUCAAUUCAUUACAGCAUUUAAUUUUAAUUUUAAUUUUAAUUUCACAAUUCUUUUGUCCCAAGAUGCUACUGUGUCAUCUUUCUUCACUCUUGAUACAUUUUUCAAAACAACUAAGUUUUGAAAAUAGUAAGAAAUAAAGAACAAUUGCUCUUCAGCACUGAACUCCUGGAUACCUCCUUAUGGCCAUGGUUACAUGUUCCUGUGGACAAAAAAACCCCAGAUUUGAUAGCAUUCUUCCUCCAAAACAUAAUGAAUUUCAGCUUUAUUUUUAUUCUGUUCAAAUGUAAGGCCUUAGUUCUUGGUGACUACCUGGAAGAAAUCAUACAAAGAAGUGCUAUAUCUGUAGUAUUUUAUCUUGAUAAUAUUAAAAGUGUUUUGUAAUUCCCGUGAAAUAUUUUUUUUAUAAAAAUGAUGUAAUCCCAUAUUUUAUAUAUUAAUUUCUUGUUACAACAUGCAUCAAAGAUAAUGGAUUUGGAUAGUGGCUGAGUAAAUGUGAUAACUGAUAUAUUAUGGAACUAAAACAGUCUUUAUAAUACUCAUCCUCAUAUUUGCUUGUAGUUAAUGCACUUGAAUAAUAUUGUAAGUGUUAAAUAAUUCCUCUUCUUUAUUUAAAAGUACAGAGACAACUGAGAGUAAAUAUCACUAUGUAAAACAUGUAAAUAUUUUGUUUGGUAUUUUAUUCCUAUUGUAAAAAGUCCAUUACUAAAAUAUUUUUAAAAUAAAGGAUUGUAAAGUUUUUUAGUAUUUAAAUAAUCUCUUGAAAUAAUAAUCUGAGAAUUUAAAUCCCAUUCUGAGAGAAAAGUCUAAGACUGUAAUUACCCUGCAGUCAUCAAAGCAAUUAUUCUGAAAACCAGAAGAGUUCACCAUCAACUCAUUAGUUCACUGUAAACUAUCAAAGAAAAAUCUGAUUGAGAUAGAAAAAAAAACCAACUUUACAAUAAAUUCCUAUAAUCUGUCUAUUAAUAAAUACAAACUGUAAAUUAGAAUUGUUCUCAUCUGGAAUGAGAGAACUCCUGGGACAAUUUCUCAAUUGGAGUUGAAGGGCUAAAAAUAAAAUGCUCAGGAUCUAUUAAGAUCUGCCUUCCCUGAAAUUUGAAUUGUGUGUGUUGAAUUAACAACGUCCUAGUCAGUUACCAGACUGGUUGUCUUUGGGAGUUCCCUUCUGUAUAUUCCUAUGGACACAAAAACAUGCUUCAUCUUUUUUCUCUGAAAAGAGGCACAAUCAUGUUUUUUCCUGUCAGAUAAAAGAUUGAAGCCAGGAUUUUUCUGAUGAAAAACUGAAAAAAAAUUUCCAACCUAAGUAUGUAAAUCCAGAGUUUCAGAGGUAGUGAGUAUCUGCAGCUUCUGGUAACUACAGUAUCAAGCCUAGGAUAACUGUGGAAUAUAAUUCUCUCACAGUAAAACCACUUAUUGAUUAGUGAUUAACUUACACAUAUACUAACAGAGAAAAAAAACCCUAGAAUUUUUGGGAUUUUUUUGUCCCCAGUGAUUAAACAUUUACUUCCCUUUAAUAUAGCACCUUAUUUAGAGAAAAGAAUCAAAUAGAAGUGAUGAGAUGUAAAUUUAUACCCCCUAUGCAUUUUUUAAUAAAAUUUAUUGCUUUUUAAAUAUAUAUGAUAUUUAUCAUUACACCUUGUCUUAUUCUCUCUUACUUCAGCUGUGUUCAGCUGAGUUUCAGGGUAAUUCCUGAGUAUAUAUCAGGUACUGCUUUAUAGGGGGAAUGUUUAUGUGGGAGAUGAUAAUAUUGAUGCCAUUCCCUAAUUUUUAAUGUUCCUGAUCUGUGAGCAAGUCUGGUUUGUAAUUAUCCUGAAAACAUUACUCACAGAAGCCAAACCAUAAAAAAAAUUAAAAUCUUUUAUUUAAGUUAUGUGGAAUAAACUACACGGUACAGAAUACAGGUUAUGACCACUUAGUCCAGGUCUGCAAAAUCUGCUCUUUAUGUACAUUUUUAUGAAUUGGCUGCACUAUUUUAUAAACCUCUCUGCACGUUUCUAUAUACACCAAGCAAAACUGUUACUUCAUUUAUAUUGUUUCUUUUUUUAUGGUUUCUCACGCUGGUUUUUUUUCCCCUUUUCUCUGGCAUUUCUAUAUCAGUAAAAUUGUUCCUGUUCUCAUUUCUGCUUGUGUUUGAGAGUGUUUUUCAGUAAUGAAGAUUGUUACUGUUAGAAACUGCAUAUAUUUCAGUGAAUUUCUUAUUUGUCAGUACAUGUCCUGCCCUGCAGAUUGUGUGCUCUUUGCGGGAGGGUUUUUUGGUACUUUAGUGCAAACAUAAAGCCUUGUUUUGUACUGGUGACUACAUUACCUAGCACCAUAGAAAAAUAAAAUAAAAAACAGUAUUUGAAAAAAAACAGUAAUUCAAUAUGAAAUAAAUAAAAAUACAUAGGUUUAAAUUCUGAGUGGGUAUCAAUCAGCUGAUUUACACCAGCUGAGACUCUGAGCUGCAGCAUUUCAACAGCUUUGUUCAUGGAUAUCAGUUUUCUGGGGUUGGAGCACCUUACAUGAUUGAAUGUAUGGACAAAGUCAAGCCAUGUUCAAAAUACUUCUGUAUUAGUAAUUGUAAUAAUAAUGCUAUAAAGCUUAUUUUUGUCAUUGCAUAGAAAAACAUAUUGCAUUGUUUUACACAUGUAGCAAAUAAAGUUGUAAUGUAUUAAACUAAA